RNAcentral lists this ribosomal RNA (504 nucleotides) under uncultured Aquimonas sp. RNAcentral's name for it is "partial 16S ribosomal RNA". The record is from RNAcentral. Lineage: Bacteria; Pseudomonadati; Pseudomonadota; Gammaproteobacteria; Lysobacterales; Lysobacteraceae.
CACGAAGUUAGCCGGUGCUUAUUCUUUCGGUACCGUCAUCCCGUACGGGUAUUAACCACACGGAUUUCUUCCCGAACAAAAGUGCUUUACAACCCGAAGGCCUUCUUCACACACGCGGCAUUGCUGGAUCAGGCUUGCGCCCAUUGUCCAAUAUUCCCCACUGCUGCCUCCCGUAGGAGUCUGGGCCGUGUCUCAGUCCCAGUGUGGCUGAUCAUCCUCUCAGACCAGCUACCGAUCGUCGCCUUGGUGGGCUCUUACCCCGCCAACUAGCUAAUCGGGCAUAGGCUCAUCCGAUCGCGUGAGGCCCGAAGGUCCCCCACUUUCACCCGAAGGUCGUAUGCGGUAUUAGCGUAAGUUUCCCUACGUUAUCCCCCACAACCGGGCAGAUUCCUAUGCAUUCCUCACCCGUCCGCCACUCGCCGCCAGGGUUACCCCCGCGCUGCCGUUCGACUUGCAUGUGUUAGGCAUGCCGCCAGCGUUCAAUCUGAGCCAGGAUCAAACUCU